Molecule: ribosomal RNA, 422 nt
Filed under: Verrucomicrobiota bacterium
Lineage: Bacteria; Pseudomonadati; Verrucomicrobiota
Description: Verrucomicrobia bacterium partial 16S ribosomal RNA
Rfam family: Bacterial small subunit ribosomal RNA
Source: RNAcentral
UGGGGAAUAUUGCGCAAUGGGGGAAACCCUGACGCAGCGACGCCGCGUGCGGGAUGAAGGCCUUCGGGUUGUAAACCUUUUUCGCUCAUGGUCAAGCCGCAGCUUUGGGUUGUGGUGAGGGUAGUGGGUAAAGAAGCGCCGGCUAACUACGUGCCAGCAGCCGCGGUAAUACGUAGGGCGCGAGCGUUGUCCGGAAUUAUUGGGCGUAAAGGGCUUGUAGGCGGUUGGCCGCGUCUGCCGUGAAAUCCUCUGGCUUAACUGGGGGCGUGCGGUGGGUACGGGUUGACUUGAGUGCGGUAGGGGAGACUGGAAUUCCUGGUGUAGCGGUGGAAUGCGCAGAUAUCAGGAGGAACACCGGUGGCGAAGGCGGGUCUCUGGGCCGUUACUGACGCUGAGGAGCGAAAGCGUGGGGAGCGAACAGG